RNAcentral lists this transfer RNA (69 nucleotides) under Histiotus montanus (small big-eared brown bat). RNAcentral's name for it is "tRNA-Phe". It matches the Rfam family "tRNA". From Rfam's summary of the family: Transfer RNA (tRNA) molecules are approximately 80 nucleotides in length. Their secondary structure includes four short double-helical elements and three loops (D, anti-codon, and T loops). The record is from RNAcentral. Lineage: Eukaryota; Metazoa; Chordata; Mammalia; Chiroptera; Vespertilionidae.
GUUAAUGUAGCUUAAUAAUAAAGCAAAGCACUGAAAAUGCUUAGAUGGGUAUCUUAUACUCCAUAAACA